CGCUGAACUUAAGCAUAUCAUUAAGCGGAGGAAAGAAACUAACAAGGAUUCCCCCAGUAACGGCGAGUGAAGCGGGAAGAGCUCAAGCUUAAAAUCUCCAUACUUGUAUGGCGAAUUGUAGUCUAUUGAGGCUGUUGUCAGCAUCGCGAUUGGGGACAAGUCCCUUGGAAAAGGGCAGCAUGGAGGGUGAUACUCCCGUCUCUGCUCCAAUCUGCGGUGUGUACGAUACGCUUUCUUUGAGUCGAGUUGUUUGGGAAUACAGCUCAAAGUAGGUGGUAAAUUCCAUCUAAAGCUAAAUAUUGGUGCGAGACCGAUAGCGAACAAGUACCGUGAGGGAAAGAUGAAAAGAACUUUGAAAAGAGAGUUAAAGAGUACCUGAAACUGUUGAAAGGGAACCGUAUCGUUUCCAGUGUUGUAUCCUAUGCAUAUUUCAUUCGUGGAGUAAUUUACGGGUGCCCUGUGCAUGGGUGUGACGUCAGGGUCAGUUUGUAUGCUGCGGGAGAUGGUCAGUGAGGAGGUGCGUCACUUCGGUGAAAGUUAUAUCUCGCUGUCUAGUAGCCGUGGUUGAGACUGAGGUGCCUACAACAUGCCUUAAGGUUCUAUGUUGUCUCGUGUUGGUGACUGCUUUGAUAGCUUGCUAUGUCUGUGGUUUAUUAAUGCGAUUGAUGAUGUGGAUAACUUUUGCUGUUCGGGACUCUGGCGAAAUGGAGCGAUACGACCCGUCUUGAAACACGGACCAAGGAGUCUAACAUGUGUGCAAGUAUUAGGGCGUGGAAACCCAAAUGCGUAAUGAAAGUAAAUGCUGCUUAUGCAGCUGUGGUAGGAAAGGGCUGUCAAGGUCCUGGCACUAUCGACCGAUCAUGAGCCUACGGGCAAAAGAUUUGAGUAUGAGCAUAUAUGUUGGUACCCGAAAGAUGGUGAACUAUGCCUGAAUAGGGUGAAGCCAGGGGAAACUCUGGUGGAAGCUCGUAGCGAUUCUGACGUGCAAAUCGAUCGUCAAAUUUGGGUAUAGGGGCGAAAGACUAAUCGAACCAUCUAGUAGCUGGUUCCCUCCGAAAUUUCCCUCAGGAUAGCAGCAACUUUUUACGAUAGUUUUAUGAGGUAAAGCGAAUGAUUAGAGGCCUCGGGGAAGAAACUUCCUCGACCUAUUCUCAAACUUUAAAUGGGUAAGACCUGUGGGUUUCUUAAUUGAACCUGUGGACGUGAAUAUCCAAGUUGUUAGUGGGCCAUACCGGGUAAGCUGGUCUGGCG
This 1251-nucleotide ribosomal RNA is filed under the name Saprolegnia parasitica. RNAcentral's name for it is "eukaryotic LSU rRNA". It matches the Rfam family "Eukaryotic large subunit ribosomal RNA", at positions 26 to 1155 of the family's 3401-position model. Lineage: Eukaryota; Oomycota; Saprolegniomycetes; Saprolegniales; Saprolegniaceae. The record is from RNAcentral.